GCUAAUAUGCCAAUUUUUAAGGAAUGGAGGGAGUACAUAUGUUACUAGUCUAUGUUACUACUUCAAUAGUGGGUAGUAGUAACAUAUUUGUGAUAACAAAAAAUUCUCAUUUAUUAGUUUUAUAUACUCAUUCUAUAUUGGUAAGUGUGAUGCGAUAGUAACAUAUCUAGUUAUCCCAACCUUCUCUUUCCCCAGUAAUAACAUGACACAUCAUCAAAAUUGUUUGCUUGGCACUUUAGUUAUCACCUUUAUUACUCCCACUAUGACUAGUCUAACAGAAGGACAACCUAGGCAUUUACGAGAGCACGGUCUAGUGAAGUCGGAUUUGAAUUACUCCGUAUGGCCGUAUCCAUUUUUCAGUACUUGCAUCUUAUUACAUGAAUCUCAGGUAUUAAAUCAGAUGGUUAUUAGCAUCGACCUUCUUACUCGCCCUUAAAAAAAAAGAAAUAGCGAAACCUUUGAAUCAUACGUGGAUUUUGUUUAGCCGUCCUUAGGAGGGAUGUCAGCCGCCGCUUCCACCGUGCGGCGCCAUGGAUCUUGUCAAUUAGACUCUCUUUCCAUUUUUCAAUUUAAUUUCAAAGUCUCGUAAAUCAAUGAAAGUAAUGUUCAUCCUUCUGAAAUUGUACAAGAUUUAAAAACCAAAAGUUGGAAAAAAAAUCUAAAGUUUCACAUGAAUCAAAAGUUGAGAAAAAUGAAAGUGGAGAGGAUGAAAAGGAAAAGAAAAAAAAUAUCUUCCUAUGUUCCUAAAUCUCUUCCUCUGUAUAAUUAGCAAAAUUAAUUGAGUGGGAAAUGCGAAAGGAAGAUUAAACAUCAAUAUGCUCCUCUUUUUUGGUCUGAAAAGGACAGCAUGUAUUUGGUUAGCAUAUAGAUACUGAGAGAGUAUAUCGUACACCCUCCUUCUUUCAGAAAGGUUGGCGUAUUUGGUUUUCACACCCUACUUUUCAAAUCCAGGAAAACUUAUUUUAAUAAAAAUAAACUUUACCGUAUUUCAAAAACUUUUUUCAGGGUUUAUUUGGAACUGAUGGAAUUUAAAUUUCUAUUGGAUUUUGCUUGAAGAAUUAGAAUCGAUGCUUUUGUUUGGAGUAUGAAACUAUUUUGAAAUCUUAAACUUUUUCAGCUUG
This 1121-nucleotide long non-coding RNA is filed under the name Brachypodium distachyon (stiff brome). Its description in RNAcentral is "long non-coding RNA (BDIS_LNC001369)". The record is from RNAcentral. Lineage: Eukaryota; Viridiplantae; Streptophyta; Magnoliopsida; Poales; Poaceae.